This is a non-coding RNA of Nicotiana tabacum (common tobacco), 256 nucleotides long. NCBI's taxonomy places the organism in Eukaryota, Viridiplantae, Streptophyta, Magnoliopsida, Solanales, Solanaceae. The record is from RefSeq and is a predicted model, not a curated record.
UUGCAGCCUCCUCCACCUGUUAGUGAUACCAAUCCAUAUAAUGUAUUUAGGCCAAGGGAGAAGGCUCACAGGCUUCACACAAGGAGGAUGCAAAGGAGGGAAAACAAUGUGCAGUCAUUUGAAAAGCUUCGCCAGGUUAGGCGCAACCUUGACCAAGCAAAGACCAUUCUUGAGGCUCUCAUCAAGAGAGAGGAGAAGAAACGAGAGGUUGUGGAGAGUGAGGUUAGUCUUCAGAGACUUCAAAUGAAACACAAGG